UCCGGGUAGAUUACACUGCAUGACUUACCUCUGCUCUUGCAGAGGAAUGGAAUCCAGGUGGUGGUCUCCAGGCAGUGCCAUCAUAUUAAUCCCAAUCUGCAGCAAUGCCUGCCCACAGCGGUCCGGACCCUGAAAAGACAGACCAGGAUGGGUCUGUUAAGAGAGGAGGUACAGUGUCUUUACUUCUCAAAUCUGGGUGGUAAGAAGCCAAAAUAGAUGAGAGAGAAGGUCUACUCAGCCUCUUCUUCUGAGCUGAUUCACACUCUGAUGUCCUCACACAGAGAAGUAUGUACUGAAGACCGCACACUAAAAUUCUCAUCUGAGACUGGAAGACUGGUGCUGAGCACAUGAAGAUGAUGAGAAGCGUGACUCCAUUCCCCAGAGGUUAUGCCCAUCUCCAAAGGCCUUCACUAAAAGCCCCAGCUAAAGUAUCAAGAAAUGGAGCUGAGGAAUGUAGAUGAGGUGGAAAGAGCACAUGGAGAUGUAAACAGGAAGGAGGAAUCUUCUGCCCCCACUACUUCGUUGCAUGGAUUCUGUUGUAU
Long non-coding RNA from Grammomys surdaster, 542 nucleotides. RefSeq lists it as uncharacterized. The record is from RefSeq and is a predicted model, not a curated record. NCBI's taxonomy places the organism in Eukaryota, Metazoa, Chordata, Mammalia, Rodentia, Muridae. The transcript is spliced from 3 exons.